This 635-nucleotide ribosomal RNA is filed under the name uncultured bacterium. Its description in RNAcentral is "bacterial SSU rRNA". It matches the Rfam family "Bacterial small subunit ribosomal RNA", at positions 8 to 694 of the family's 1533-position model. The record is from RNAcentral.
AGAGUUUGAUCCUGGCUCAGAACGAACGCUGGCGGCAGGCCUAACACAUGCAAGUCGAGCGCCCGCAAGGGAGCGGCAGACGGGUGAGUAACGCGUGGGAACGUGCCCUUUGGUUCGGAAUAUUCCCGGGAAACUGGGAGCAAGACCGGAUAAGCCCUUCGGGGGAAAGUUUACGCCAAAGGAUCGGCCCGCGUUAGAUUAGGUAGUUGGUGGGGUAACGGCCUACCAAGCCUACGAUCUAUAGCUGAUCUGAGAGGAUGAUCAGCCACACUGGGACUGAGACACGGCCCAGACUCCUACGGGAGGCAGCAGUGGGGAAUCUUGGACAAUGGGCGCAAGCCUGAUCCAGCCAUGCCGCGUGGAUGACUGAAGGCCCUAGGGUUGUAAAGUCCUUUCGACGGGGACGAUAAUGACGGUACCCGUAGAAGAAGCCCCGGCUAACUUCGUGCCAGCAGCCGCGGUAAUACGAAGGGGGCUAGCGUUGUUCGGAUUUACUGGGCGUAAAGGGCGCGUAGGCGGAUUUUUAAGUCGGGGGUGAAAUCCCGGAGCUCAACUCCGGAACUGCCUUCGAUACUGGAAGUCUGGAGCACGGUAGAGGUGAGUGGAAUUCCGAGUGUAGCGGUGAAAUGCGUAGA